RNAcentral lists this transfer RNA (67 nucleotides) under Tipula abdominalis. RNAcentral's name for it is "tRNA-Phe". It matches the Rfam family "tRNA". From Rfam's summary of the family: Transfer RNA (tRNA) molecules are approximately 80 nucleotides in length. Their secondary structure includes four short double-helical elements and three loops (D, anti-codon, and T loops). The record is from RNAcentral. Lineage: Eukaryota; Metazoa; Arthropoda; Insecta; Diptera; Tipulidae.
AUUCAAAUAGCUUAUUAAAUAGAGCAUGACAUUGAAGAUGUUAAGGAGAUUGUUAAAUCUUUGAAUA